UGGGGAAUAUUGCACAAUGGGCGCAAGCCUGAUGCAGCCAUGCCGCGUGUGUGAAGAAGGCCUUCGGGUUGUAAAGCACUUUCAGCGGGGAGGAAGGCGGUGAGGUUAAUAACCUCAUCGAUUGACGUUACCCGCAGAAGAAGCACCGGCUAACUCCGUGCCAGCAGCCGCGGUAAUACGAAGGGUGCAAGCGUUAAUCGGAAUUACUGGGCGUAAAGCGCACGCAGGCGGUCUGUCAAGUCGGAUGUGAAAUCCCCGGGCUCAACCUGGGAACUGCAUCUGAUACUGGCAAGCUUGAGUCUCGUAGAGGGGGGUAGAAUUCCAGGUGUAGCGGUGAAAUGCGUAGAGAUCUGGAGGAAUACCGGUGGCGAAGGCGGCCCCCUGGACGAAGACUGACGCUCAGGUGCGAAAGCGUGGGGAGCAAACAGG
Molecule: ribosomal RNA, 429 nt
Filed under: Chloroflexota bacterium
Lineage: Bacteria; Bacillati; Chloroflexota
Description: Chloroflexi bacterium partial 16S ribosomal RNA
Rfam family: Bacterial small subunit ribosomal RNA
Source: RNAcentral